UACAGAGGGGGCAAGCGUUGCUCGGAAUCACUGGGCGUAAAGGGUGCGUAGGCGGCCAACUAAGUCGGAUGUGAAAUCCCCAGGCUUAACCUGGGAACUGCAUCCGAUACUGGAUGGCUUGAAUCCGGGAGAGGGAUGCAGAAUUCCAGGUGUAGCGGUGAAAUGCGUAGAUAUCUGGAGGAAUACCGGUGGCGAAGGCGGCAUCCUGGACCGGCAUUGACGCUGAGUGAGCGAAAGCCAGGGGAGCAAACGGG
Molecule: ribosomal RNA, 254 nt
Filed under: uncultured bacterium
Lineage: Bacteria
Description: partial 16S ribosomal RNA
Rfam family: Bacterial small subunit ribosomal RNA
Source: RNAcentral